Molecule: long non-coding RNA, 368 nt
Organism: Photinus pyralis (common eastern firefly)
Lineage: Eukaryota; Metazoa; Arthropoda; Insecta; Coleoptera; Lampyridae
Exons: 2
Source: RefSeq, a predicted model, not a curated record
UUUCUCGCCAUUCUUAUUUCAUUAAUUCUAACAGUAGUACGAUGCUGAAAAUGUGCACUAUUUUCAUGUUCAUUUUGUUAAUAUUAGUAAUAGAUGCACGUGUAAUAAAUAAUUCGUACGAUUCUUAUCGAUCGAUCUACGACGAUAUACAAGGACAAGAAAGUACGAAUGUUAGCGAAGAAACAAAUGGCUCACUUGGUCGAUUUGAGGUAAAUUCAGAUGGUGCAGAUGAGGUAGUGGAGUGGGCCAUGCCCUUUCUUAGAAUCAAUACAGCGGCGCUUAAGGCACUUUCUGGUGGAGGUCUUGGCAAAUGAUCACUGUUGUACUGACUUUGUUAAUCAGACAAUAAUAUACUAUACCUGCAGUUA